UACGGGGGGGGCAAGCGUUGUUCGGAAUUACUGGGCGUAAAGGGCUCGUAGGUGGCCAACUAAGUCAUACGUGAAAUCCCUCGGCUUAACCGGGGAACUGCGUCUGAUACUGGAUGGCUUGAGGUUGGGAGAGGGAUGCGGAAUUCCAGGUGUAGCGGUGAAAUGCGUAGAUAUCCGGAGGAACACCGGUGGCGAAGGCGGCUUCCUGGACCAAUUCUGACACUGAGGAGCGAAAGCCAGGGGAGCAAACGGG
This 253-nucleotide ribosomal RNA is filed under the name uncultured bacterium. RNAcentral describes it as "partial 16S ribosomal RNA". It matches the Rfam family "Bacterial small subunit ribosomal RNA", at positions 524 to 776 of the family's 1533-position model. The record is from RNAcentral.